RNAcentral lists this ribosomal RNA (431 nucleotides) under uncultured bacterium. RNAcentral's name for it is "bacterial SSU rRNA". It matches the Rfam family "Bacterial small subunit ribosomal RNA", at positions 29 to 506 of the family's 1533-position model. The record is from RNAcentral.
ACGAACGCUGGCGGCAUGCCUAACACAUGCAAGUCGAACGAGACCUUCGGGUCUAGUGGCGCACGGGUGCGUAACGCGUGGGAAUCUGCCCCUCGGUUCGGAAUAACAGUUAGAAAUGACUGCUAAUACCGGAUGAUGACGAAAGUCCAAAGAUUUAUCGCCGAGGGAUGAGCCCGCGUAAGAUUAGCUAGUUGGUAGGGUAAAGGCCUACCAAGGCGACGAUCUUUAGCUGGUCUGAGAGGAUGAUCAGCCACACUGGGACUGAGACACGGCCCAGACUCCUACGGGAGGCAGCAGUGGGGAAUAUUGGACAAUGGGCGCAAGCCUGAUCCAGCCAUGCCGCGUGAGUGAUGAAGGUCUUAGGAUUGUAAAGCUCUUUCACCGAUGAAGAUAAUGACGGUAGUCGGAGAAGAAGCCCCGGCUAACUUCGU